GACGAACGCUGGCGGCGUGCUUAACACAUGCAAGUCGAACGGAAAGGCCCUGCUUUUGUGGGGUGCUCGAGUGGCGAACGGGUGAGUAACACGUGAGUAACCUGCCCUUGACUUUGGGAUAACUUCAGGAAGCUGGGGCUAAUACCGGAUAGGAGCUCCUGCUGCAUGGUGGGGGUUGGAAAGUUUCGGCGGUUGGGGAUGGACUCGCGGCUUAUCAGCUUGUUGGUGGGGUAGUGGCUUACCAAGGCUUUGACGGGUAGCCGGCCUGAGAGGGUGACCGGCCACAUUGGGACUGAGAUACGGGCCAGACUCCUACGGGAGGCAGCAGUGGGGAAUAUUGCACAAUGGGCGGAAGCCUGAUGCAGCAACGCCGCGUGCGGGAUGACGGCCUUCGGGUUGUAAACCGCUUUCGCCUGUGACGAAGCGUGAGUGACGGUAAUGGGUAAAGAAGCACCGGCUAACUACGUG
This 468-nucleotide ribosomal RNA is filed under the name uncultured bacterium. Its description in RNAcentral is "partial 16S ribosomal RNA". It matches the Rfam family "Bacterial small subunit ribosomal RNA", at positions 28 to 507 of the family's 1533-position model. The record is from RNAcentral.